ACCGCGACAGCUUAACUGGGAGAGCAUCUGCCCGGUAUGCGGAAGGUCGCCGGUUCGUUUCCGGCUCGCGUCG
RNAcentral lists this transfer RNA (73 nucleotides) under Fasciola hepatica (liver fluke). It matches the Rfam family "tRNA". Rfam says of the family: Transfer RNA (tRNA) molecules are approximately 80 nucleotides in length. Their secondary structure includes four short double-helical elements and three loops (D, anti-codon, and T loops). Further hydrogen bonds mediate the characteristic L-shaped molecular structure. tRNAs have two regions of fundamental functional importance: the anti-codon, which is responsible for specific mRNA codon recognition, and the 3' end, to which the tRNAs corresponding amino acid is attached (by aminoacyl-tRNA synthetases). tRNAs cope with the degeneracy of the genetic code in two manners: having more than one tRNA (with a specific anti-codon) for a particular amino acid; and 'wobble' base-pairing, i.e. permitting non-standard base-pairing at the 3rd anti-codon position. Lineage: Eukaryota; Metazoa; Platyhelminthes; Trematoda; Plagiorchiida; Fasciolidae. The record is from Rfam by way of RNAcentral.